GAACGCUGGCGGCAGGUUUAACACAUGCAAGUCGAGCGGGCGUAGCAAUCAACGUCAAGCGGCAGACGGGUGAGUAACUAGGCGUGGGAAUACGUGUGACCUUCUUGGUUCGGAACAACACAGGGAAACUUGUGCUAAUACCGGAUAAGCCCUUACGGGGAAAGAUUUAUCGCCGAAAGAUCGGCCCGCGUCUGAUAUAGCUAGUUGGUGAGGUAAUGGCUCACCACAGCGCGACGAUCAGUAGCUGGUCUGAGAGGAUGAUCAGCCACAUUGGGACUGAGACACGGCCCAAACUCCUACGGGAGGCAGCGGUGGGGAAUAUUGAACAAGGGGCGCAGUCUUAACCCAGCCUUGCCGCUGGAUGGAGGAAGGCCCUUAGGGUUGUAAAGCUUCUUUUGUCCGGAAGAAAAAAAUGACAGUAACGCCAAGAAUUAGCCCCCGCUAACUUCCGUGCCAGCAGCCCGGCGUAAUACGAAGGGGGCUAGCGUUGCUUGGAAAUCACGGGCGCUAAAGGGUGCGUUAGGCGGGGGUCUUUAAGUCAGGGGGUGAAAUCCUGGAGUCUCAACUCCAGAACUGCCUUUGAUACUGAGGAUCUUUUGAGUUCGGGAGAGGUGAGUGGAACUAGCGAGUAGUAGAGGUGUAAAUUCGUAGAUAAUUUUCCGCAAGAACACCAGUGGCGAAGGCGGCUCAUCUGGCCCGAUAAUUUCUGACGCUGAGAGCACGAAAGCGUGUGGGAGCAAACAUCCUUAGAUAUAUCUCCUGGUAGUCCACGCACCCGUAAACGACGGGUCUAGCACAGCCCCGUUAGUGGGUGUUACUACACUAGUAUGGGCCGCAGCUUCAUACGUCUUUAAGCAUAUCUCGCCGCUCGGGAGAGUACGGUCUGCAAGCCCCAUUAAAACUCAAUAGGAAUUGACGGGGGCCCGCACAAGCGGUGGAGCAUGUGGUUUAAUUCGACGCAACGCGCAGAACCUUACCAGCCCUUGACAUCCCGGUCGCGGACUCCAGAGAUGGAGUUCUUCAGUUCGGCUGGACCGGAGACAGGUGCUGCAUGGCUGUCGUCAGCUCGUGUCGUGAGAUGUUGGGUUAAGUCCCGCAAC
Molecule: ribosomal RNA, 1100 nt
Filed under: uncultured bacterium
Lineage: Bacteria
Description: bacterial SSU rRNA
Rfam family: Bacterial small subunit ribosomal RNA
Source: RNAcentral